Molecule: ribosomal RNA, 301 nt
Filed under: uncultured bacterium
Lineage: Bacteria
Description: partial 16S ribosomal RNA
Rfam family: Bacterial small subunit ribosomal RNA
Source: RNAcentral
CAGCAGCCACGGUAAUACGAAGGGGGCUAGCGUUGUUCGGACUUACUGGGCGUAAAGGGCGCGUAGGCGGACUGAUAAGUCAGGGGUGAAAUCCCAAGGCUCAACCUUGGAACUGCCUUUGAUACUGUUUGUCUUGAGUUCGAGAGAGGUAAGUGGAACUGCGAGUGUAGAGGUGAAAUUCGUAGAUAUUCGCAAGAACACCAGUGGCGAAGGCGGCUUACUGGCUCGAAACUGACGCUGAGGCGCGAAGGCGUGGGGAGCAAACAGGAUUAGAUACCCGAGUAGUCCCUGUCUCUUAUAC